GACGAACGCUGGCGGCGUGCUUAACACAUGCAAGUCGAACGGAAAGGCCCUGCUUUUGUGGGGUGCUCGAGUGGCGAACGGGUGAGUAACACGUGAGUAACCUGCCCUUGACUUUGGGAUAACUUCAGGAAACUGGGGCUAAUACCGGAUAGGAGCUCCUGCUGCAUGGUGGGGGUUGGAAAGUUUCGGCGGUGGGGGCUGGACUCGCGGCUUAUCAGCUUGUUGGUGGGGUAGUGGCUUACCAAGGCUUUGACGGGUAGCCGGCCUGCGAGGGUGACCGGCCACAUUGGGACUGAGAUACGGCCCAGACUCCUACGGGAGGCAGCAGUGGGGAAUAUUGCACAAUGGGCGGAAGCCUGAUGCAGCAACGCCGCGUGCGGGAUGACGGCCUUCGGGUUGUAAACCGCUUUCGCCUGUGACGAAGCGUGAGUGACGGUAAUGGGUAAAGAAGCACCGGCUAACUACGUG
Molecule: ribosomal RNA, 468 nt
Filed under: uncultured bacterium
Lineage: Bacteria
Description: partial 16S ribosomal RNA
Rfam family: Bacterial small subunit ribosomal RNA
Source: RNAcentral